AGCGGAGGGAUUGCUUGUUACUGAGUACUCUACUGAACUGUCAAUUUGUUCGUUGUCAGGGGGCUAUAUCGAGUUUGGUUGCCAUAAUAAUGGUUGCCUCGCGAAUUGGAAAUGCUUUACCGAAUCCCAGGAUAUCGCCAAGUGUGCCAUAUUGUCAUAAUCGUUUUCCUCCUUAGGAUGGUUACCAAUGUGCAGUUGAAUUCUAAAAGGUUUUGUUUGAUAUGCUAUAUUUAAAGAACUGAUGUUGGCACCAGCUUGAUGGGAAAAAGUCAUUUCCAAUGUGGGCACGGAAACUUGGAUUUAUUUGGUGAUAGUCAGAUGAUUUUCCUGAAGUUGAAGUUUGAAAUAACCUUUCAAAGCCUAAACUCAUCUUUGUAGAAAGGGACUUGUGAGAAGUAACGCUGGCUCUGUAAUUGUUCUUGGUUUGGGGCAAGACGUUGAAUAAAUUGUGAUGAUUGGAUGGACAAGAUGGAAUUCCUACACUUCAUUCAUAUUCCCCAAACGGUAUUUAAAAUUCAAAAAUUGAAGUGCAUAUCUGGGCUCCCUUCCUUUCCGUAGCCCCGUUUCCCCUUGACUCGUAAUAAGCCCGUAGGGGGUCAUGCCCCUACUGUACGGUAUAUUUAAAAAUAACAUAUACCGAGGUUUGGAGGGCUCUGGCCGGAAAGGGGACGUGGGGGUCCGCUUAGUCCGAUGAUGUGUUCACGGAGGGCGAGGUGGCAACCCACAAAUCCGAACUAAAGGUUAAUCGCUCCAGUAAAAAUGUUCCAUAUCUUCGGCUCUU
This is a long non-coding RNA of Daphnia carinata, 781 nucleotides long. RefSeq lists it as uncharacterized. The record is from RefSeq and is a predicted model, not a curated record. Lineage: Eukaryota; Metazoa; Arthropoda; Branchiopoda; Diplostraca; Daphniidae. The transcript is spliced from 4 exons.